Molecule: RNA transcript, 10343 nt
Organism: Vespula pensylvanica (western yellowjacket)
Lineage: Eukaryota; Metazoa; Arthropoda; Insecta; Hymenoptera; Vespidae
Gene: faf
Gene name: probable ubiquitin carboxyl-terminal hydrolase FAF-X
Exons: 34
Source: RefSeq, a predicted model, not a curated record
GUAACGUCGAUAAUAACAAUUCAAAAUUUAGCGGUCGAAUCAUGCCGAAGGACGAUGGCGCUUUCAUAGAGCGAACUUCAAGCCACGGACGCAACGUUAGCGCCACGAGAGUCGUGUUUACAGAUUCGCCAGUGAGUUCCAUAACGUCACGUCAAAAAGUGCAAGAGACAAAUUUCUAUUACCCUUUACUAUGUAAAGGUGCGUUCUCGACACGAAAGAGAAACGGAAAAAUACCCUCGUUCGGUCGACGAUAAUCGCGCUAAAAAUCUACGUGAUAUCGUGUUUUCGGGACGACGACGUAAAAUAAAAUACGCGCCUCUUUCGUUAAUACCGUAGUGGUAAUCGUUAGGAUGGUAGCCAUUUUGUCCGGAGGUGGCCCGGCCGAGUGAACGGGCGAAAAUAGGUGCUCCCUGGAGCGGGAGAUAAUGUAGGUAUUCUUUAUCGAAACAAGGCCUUUAGGAUAUAAUUAUAUUUAAUGUCAGUACAUGAAUCGAGUGCUUGUUAUUGGUGGUGCAAUCGUUGGACCAAGAAUUACUAAAAGAAUUGGAGCCUAGUGAACAGCUAGAAAAUGACGAUUGCUACAAGGGGCCAGGGGGUAGGAAUAGAUCCUCCCGAUAGCCAGCAGAGUUCACAGAUGCAUAGUCCACCUGGUUCACAACAAUUAGCUGAUUCAAUGUCAGGUCUUCACCUCGCAGAAAAUGUGGUACAAACUGAGUGUGUCAACGAUACUAUAACUUCUGUAGAUGACAGUAAUCAGCACCUUAGAGAACCUGAUUUUCCUAUCUCUAAACUUAACAUUCUUCAUGAAAAAAUAUCUAGUUCACGAUGGGUCGUCCCAGUCCUACCUGAACAAGAAUUAGAGUGCCUCUUACAAGCUAGCAUUGAGCUUUGUAAAAAGGGAAUUGAUGUACAAAGCGAAGCGUGUCAGCGUUUCUUUCGUGAAGGGCUUACAAUUUCUUUUACCAAAAUAUUGACGGACGAUGCGGUGAAUAGUUGGAAAUCGCACAUUCACAACUAUAUCAAUGCAAAUUGUGAACAUUUAGUGGAACUCUGUGUUUUGAAAUUAGAUGAGGAUUGGUUUCCAUUACUUGAUUUAUUGGCAAUGGUUUUUGAUCCCAGUAAUAAAUUUCAUACAUUUAAUGCAGCAAGAGCAUCCGAAACUGUUCCUCCUGGAUGUAAUAUUCCAGAUGAGGAACUUUACGCACGUCCACCCAUUGAGUCAAGAACACCUCGUGGAUGGCUUGUAGAUCUAAUAAAUAGAUUUGGAAGAUUAAAGGGAUUUGAAAUUCUUCUCUCAAGAUUUCAGAGUCGUCGUAAUUUAACUGUACCAGUAAUCUAUGCCCUGAUUAGGCCUUUUGGUUUAUGUUAUGAAUUAUUGACUGUCCAUACAAUAAUAAAAUACCUUAUGCCUAUUGUGGAAAUGAUACCUGUUAUUUUGGACAACUUAACUGAUGAUGAAUUAAAGAAAGAGGCAAAAAAUGAAGCAAAAAAUGAUGCCAUAUCAGCCAUAAUUAAAGCUGCAAAAUGUUUGGUAUCAAGAGUACCUCAUCAAGAAGAAAUGAUUAAAAACCUGGAAAUACUGAGAUUAAAAAUGAUAUUGAGACUAUUACAAAUAUCUUCCUUUAAUGGAAAAAUGAAUGCUUUAAACGAAGUAAAUAAGGUUAUUACAAGUGUGAAUUAUUAUCAGCAUCGUAAUACAGCUGUAGAGGAGGAAGAAUGGUUGACUGCUGAACGUAUGGCAAAAUGGAUUAAAGAUAACGGAGUAUUGGAAAUAGUUUUGAGAGAUUCGUUACAUCAACCACAAUAUGUAGAAAAAUUGGAAAAAAUUUUACGAUUUAUUAUAAAAGUACGUGCCCUCACAUUAGAAGACUUAGAUAACAUAUGGGCAGCUCAAGCCGGUAAACAUGAAGCUAUUGUAAAGAAUGUUCAUGAUUUGUUGGCUAAAUUAGCUUGGGAUUUUAGUCCUGAACAACUCGACCAUCUGUUCGAAUGCUUUCAGGCAAGUUGGAAAACUGCUAAUAAAAAACAGCGAGAAAAAUUGUUAGAAUUGAUCAGAAGACUCGCAGAAGACGAUAAAGAUGGAGUUAUGGCUCAUAAGGUGUUAACCCUUUUUUGGAAUCUGGCUCAUUCAGACGAAGUUCCCACUGAGAUAAUGGAUCAGGCAUUGAAUGCACAUGUUAAAAUUUUGGACUAUUCAUGUUCGCAAGAAAGAGAUGCACAAAAAACAAUCUGGUUAGAUAAAUGUGUGGAAGAAUUAAAAAGUGGGGACAAAUGGGCUUUACCUGCUCUGAAACAAAUCCGGGAGAUUUGUUUAUUAUACGAAGCAAAUUCUAAUCCAGCUCAUCAACGUAGCCAUAAUUUACAUUAUAGACAGGAUGUUAUAGAACGUUUACAGCAGGACCAUUUAGUUGUAGUACUUGUAACUAACAGUUUAACAAAUUAUAUGGACAAAGUGCGUCAAUUGGUAAAGGAGAAUCCAGAUCUUGAUCCAAAUACCUUUGUGCCUGAUGGUCGAUACAAUCAUAUUAUGCAAGUGCACGAAAGACUUAAUUUUUUGCGUUUUCUAUUAAGAGAUGGUCAGCUAUGGUUAUGUGCAGAACAAGCCAAUCAAAUCUGGCAAUGUUUAGCCGAACAAGGUGUGUUUGUCUCAGAUCGCGAGGCUUGUUUCAAAUGGUUUUCUAAACUUAUGGGAGAAGAACAGGAUCUUGACCCAGGAAUAACUGCGAACUUUUUUGAAAAUAAUAUACUGCGGUUAGAUCCAACGUUACUUACUGAAAGUGGUAUAAAGUGUUAUGAGAGAUUUUUUAAAACUGUUAAUUCUAAACAAGGAAAGUUGAUACUAAAGAAAAGAACAUUACUUAUGGAUGAUGUUGAUUUGAUUGGAACUGAUUAUUUGUGGCGGGUGGUAACAAAUAGUCCUGAAGAAAUCGCAAAUCGUGCUAUAGAACUUUUGAAAGAAGUAAACACUAAUUUAGGACCACGUCUGCAAUCAUCUGCACUAGAGUUUCAUGAUGAUUAUAUAGCAGAAUGUAUGGAUAGAUUAAAGACUCAUUAUGAUACUGUGUCUGCCUUAAGUAAGGUUUACCUUGGAAAGAAAGAAGAAAGGGAUGAGCAAAUGUCAAAUAAAAUUAAAGUAGAGGCUAUAAAAAUGUGUCGUGUAAUGAAAGUAUUGCAAGAGUACAUAAAUGAAUGUGACACUGCAUUUCCAGAAGAACGAAAAAUAUUACCAUUACACAGAGCAGCUCGUGGAAAACAUUUAUCUCUUAUAAUUAGAUUUCCAAAUCAUAUUCGUAAUACGGAUGAUAUAGAGAUAUAUACACACAGCAACGAUACAUUGGCUUCAUUAAAACGUCAAAUAUUACGUCGAUUGAAAGGGAGAGAGAUUGGGACAAAUGUGAAACUCGAUUUAUUCAUUAAUGGCGAAGGCUUGGAACAAGCGGAUGAUAGAAAAUUGUUAUCUCAAAUUCCACUUAGAGAUAAAAUGCUAUUAUCUGCCAGAUUAAGUCAGAUAAAUAGUAAUCUACCUAGUUCUCCAGAUAGCAGUUCAGAUAGUUCAACUAGUUCUCCGCAUCAUCCUUAUGAUGGGCCAAAUGUAGAGAACAGUUUACCUGGAGUGGUUAUGUCACAGAGACCACAGUGUGUGAAUUUUUUCUUCCAAUUAGCAGAUCUUGGUUGUACAUUGCAACAUGCUCAGUUACGCGAUGGUGCUCGAAAUCUUUUGCAAUUAGUACCACCUGAUAAUUUGACAGUAUCAAGAUUACAAUGGCUUUUUGGCCAUUAUGAAGAUGAUGAAACUUCACAGAAUCCUCAUUGUAACGAACACAACACAACAGUAGAUUCUUUAUUUUUUACUGCAAGUCCUAGUGAAGUUUUAUAUAAUUUAGAGGUGUUAUAUGCAUUGUUGAUGCCAGCUCCUGAUCCUCUCUCUGAUAGACCAUUUAAGUUUCAAUUUAAUUUUAUUAAAAGUGGCGAAGUAGGAGUUGUACUUGAUAUGUUAACAAAAAAUAAAUUUUUGCCAAAUGCAGACGAGACUACUAAACGAUCUGCCUAUUUGACAGUGCUGAAACUCUGCAAAUUUUUACUAACAGUUGUUGGAAAUAUUAUGGUAUGUGUAUUAGAUAAAGUUCAAGCUGGACAUUCGGAAAAUCACAAUAAUCACAUACAAAAUAAUCAAGAUCCUGUAACUAUUUUAAAACAGGCUUUACAAAGCAUACCUAAUCAAACCACUGAAUAUAUGCUAAGAAAUGUUGCAGCACGUUUAGUAAAACCUUUGUCACUACGAAUGUUCUCUGGUGGAACUGAUUCUGAUAGGUGUCAUCAGCUUUUUAUGCUAGCUCUUUCACGAGAUUUACCUGAUGUGGCCACUAUUCGUGCCAUAAUUAGAUUAGCGUGGGCUGCAUCAACUGGAAAUUUGAAUAAUAUUAAUGCAUCCAUUGAAAGUCUUCAUACAAUGCAUGAACUAAAUCAGAAGGAACAAAGAUGUCCUGAUAAUAAUGAUGUAUUAGUUUGUAAAGAAGCGUUGGAAGUCUUGACAAUAGCUUUAGCGCUUAAUUCGGCGGCAUUCGAUGUUCUAUUGAGAGAAAAAAUGUGGCAUAUGUUUUUAAUAGACCUUAUAUUACUGAGUACAUCGAGAGCAAUUAGAAUUGUGGCAGCAGAACAAUUUUUCCUUGUGUCGACAUGGUGCCGUAGUGUAAAUCCACCAGUGUUAUUUACUAUUACAUUACUCUUUACUGUUUUAAAUACUACAGUUAUGGAAAAUUCAAAACAGUGUCAUGAGUAUUUUCAGCUCUUAUGUAGACUGUUAAAUUAUGCACAUAUAUCAGGAUGUUCUGUCUCAACUAUAGAAAACUUACUAAAUAUUGAGAUAACUUGGUUGAAACAAGUGAGAGAUAGUGUUAAGGAAUCAGGGGAAAGUCAUGUGGACGAGGCAGUUCUCGAAGGUCACCUUAGUCUUACUAAGGAAUUAGUAGCCUUCUUGCCUGCUAGUAAAAAGUAUGAAAUUGGAUCUGACGAGAAACAUGGAAUAAAUUUGAUAAAGGAAUUAGUAGAAGAUUUCGUCUUCCCUGCAUCACGUCUAAUGUUGCAACUUCGUAGUACCGGAGAAUUAAGUUCAUCGCAAGCUUGUCCAGUGUGUACUACUCCGCAGUCAACUAGCGCAGCAUUCGACUUACUUGUAGGUCUUUGUACAGGCUGUGUACCCAACAUGAAACUUCUAGUCACGAUGCUCACUGACAUGUUUUAUUCGGAAAGAGAUGAGCCAUUAAUUGAAUGGGACUAUUUACCACCAGUUGGGCUUAGGCCACUUAAAGGCUUCGUAGGUUUGAAGAAUGCAGGAGCUACAUGUUAUAUGAACUCAGUAUUACAACAAUUAUACAUGGUUGAAAGUAUUAGAGUUGGACUAUUAGCUGCGGAAGGAGCAGCAACUGAUUUAAACGAAGAUUUUUCUGGGGAAGAAAGAAUCGAAGGAGAACAAACUAUAGAAGCAAACGAUAAUGACACCAAUGAAGAAAAGUGUGGAGUUGACGAAUCAAGGAAGGAAUAUAAUAUCGGCAUUUUAAAACAAGUGCAAGCAAUAUUUGGACAUUUGGCUUACAGCAAAUUACAAUAUUACAUACCAAGAGGUCUUUGGAAACAUUUUAAACUGCAGGGUGAACCUGUAAAUCUUAGGGAACAGCAAGAUGCAGUGGAGUUUUUUAUGAGCUUAGUGGAAAGCUUGGAUGAAGCUCUCAAAGCUUUGGGGCAUGAACAAAUAAUGAGUAAAAUUCUUGGUGGCUCAUAUAGUGAUCAAAAAAUCUGCAAAGGUUGCCCUCAUAGAUAUUCCAAAGAAGAACCAUUCAGUGUGAUUAGUGUGGAUAUAAGGAAUCAUAGUAAUCUAUUGGAUUCUCUUGAACAAUAUGUGAAAGGUGAACUAUUGGAAGGAGCCGAUGCUUAUCAUUGUGAUAAAUGCAACAAAAAAGUAGUAACAGUAAAGAGGUUAUGCGUGAAAAAACUGCCACCUAUUUUAGCGAUACAGCUAAAAAGGUUUGAAUAUGACUAUGAACGAGUUUGUGCUAUUAAAUUUAAUGAUUAUUUCGAGUUCCCAAGAGAUCUUGAUAUGGAACCGUAUACAGUCUCUGGCUUAGCUAAGUUGGAAGGAGAAGUCAUAGAUUGCGAUUAUGAGGAAUCUAUAAAAGGAACUUGUACAAAAUAUCAAUUAACUGGCAUUGUAGUACAUAGUGGCCAGGCUAGUGGUGGUCAUUAUUAUUCUUAUAUUUUGCAUAGACAAACCGAUGGUACUGCUAAAUGGUAUAAAUUUGAUGACGGAGAUGUAACAGAAUGUAAAAUGGAAGAGGAAGAAGAAAUGAAAUCGCAAUGCUUUGGUGGUGAUUAUUUGGGUGAAGUGUUUGAUCAUAUAUCGAAGCGUGUCAGUUACCGUAAACAAAAACGAUGGUGGAAUGCGUAUAUGCUUUUUUAUACCAGAUUAGACAUAGAAGAAAAUUCUUUAAUGAAAAGUUUCAACGAAUUGUCAUUAUAUACUAAGCUAGGUGUAAUGAAAAUGCCACAAGCUAUCGAAUACAGUGUGAGGAAACAGAAUAUUAAGUUUAUGCAUAAUCGGAAUCAAUUUAGUGCAGAAUAUUUUCAAUUUAUAAAAAAAUUAGUCUCUUCUGAUAAUCAUAACAUUAACAGACAAUAUCUUAACGAAAAACCCAGCCCAGAAGCAGAGGAAUUGUCGAUGUUGGCAGUUCAAUUAGCGUCAAGAUUUUUAUUCUUCACUGGUUUUCAUACUAAGAAAACAUUACGUGGUGCAGCCACAGAGUGGAAUGAUAUUUUAUGUCAUCAUCUUUGUAAUAGUAAAGCAGUACGCUCCUGGUUCGCUCAUAAUGUUCUUCUGAAUCAUCCACACAGAUUUUGUGAAUAUCUUUUAAGUUGUCCUAGUACCGAAGUGAGAACAGCUUUCGUUAAAAUUGUCGUGUGUCUUGCACAUUUUUCAUUACACGAUAGCCCAUCAAUGUCUUCUAGUAUAAAUUCACCAAAUAUACUUGUAGAACCAACUGCAAAACUGAGCGAUCAUUUAAUGCAUGCGGUACUGUCGUUACUCCAAAGAGAAAUCUCCGAUCAUGGUCGCCAUCUUCCACAUUAUUUUUCAUUAUUUCACAUGUAUGCUAACUUAGGAUUGCAAGAGAAAAUGCAAUUGCUCACGCUUAACGUUCCAGUUACGUUCAUGUCAGUCGCGAUUGACGAAGGGCCUGGACCAGCGAUAAAAUAUCAAUAUCCUGAAUUGACAAAACUCCAUCAAGUUGUUAGUAUGUUGAUACGUUGUUGCGACGUAUCUUCGAGAAUAUCUUCGAAAGAACCACCUUUACCAAAUCCAUAUGGUGAUUCAUCGUGCCAGUCAGGCUAUCUUAUGCCUAUUCAACCACAAGCAGCUGAACUUCUUUUUGUUGAAAAUAGUUAUAUGAAAAAGUUGAUCGAAGAUGCUAAUGUUACCGAAGAUACUACCAAGUUAUUGCAGUUCUGUUGUUGGGAAAACUUCAGUUUAUCACGAACAGUAAUUAGCGAAUUACUUUUACAAAUAAGUUUCGUUUAUGCACACGAAUUAAGGCAUCAUACGGAUCUUCUUCUUGCUAUACUUCUUAUGGAAGAUAAUUGGCAGAAUAAUCGUAUUUGUACAGCACUUCAAGGUUUAUACGAAGAAAGAGAGGGAUUAUUUGAUAUAAUACAGAAAUAUAAAAAUCAACAACAGAAACGAGCAUACCAAUGUAUAAAGUGUAUGGUACAAUUGUUUAGCAAAUGUAGAGCUGCGCAUCGGUAUUUGUGUCAUUCAUCUGAAUUGAAAAGAAAAUGGAUGCAUGCGGUUGAAUGGCUUCACGAUGAGUUAGAUAAAAGACCAUAUCCACCAACAGCACCCUAUACACUACCAUAUAAUAAUUGGUCUCCUCCAGCACAAUCCAAUGAUUCAACGAACGGAUUUGGAUUAGAACGUAGUAACAGUGCUAAAAAGACUUUGGAGAAAGCAGUAGUUUAUUGUUCUGAAAUGGAACCAGAACUCGAAGAUACAAGGGAAGAUUGCGUAGAAGAAGCAGAAAAGUAUCAGUCUCAAACGAGAGAUUUAUUGCGAUCUGGUCGUAGUGUAGUUUGGGGAUCUGCGUCUAUAGGUUAUCCCGAAGUUUCUGUAAUACAACAAAUGCAAGAAGAUCAGCCACAGCCUGGACCGUCUCCAGUUCACACACCUCUUCUAGCACAUCAAAUUCGCAGUCCACAUAAUUGUGAGUCAUCCCAAAGUACAAGCCAGGAUCCAUAAUGAAUACUAAAUAUCGACCUCCUAUUGAGUUGCUGCCUCAGAGAAAUCAUGUCUCAAUCUUUUAAUUAUUACUGUGCCAGCAGCUUGGUGUUGAAUGGAAAACGAGAGGUUAAAAUCGUAAUCAAGGGACCAAGACACAGGGAAGUGCUCGAGGUACGAGAAAACGAUUACGGUUUAUGCUGCCUUUCUACGCGGAAAUAUUUAUAAAUAAAUAUUAUCUUAGCCCGUUUCUUUUUUAUCUUUUCUCUUUCUUCUUCAUUUUCUUUUAUUAUCAUUUUCCAUAAAAAUGUAAAAGAUAUUAUUGUCCGAGUAAUUGAAUUUUGAUCGAAAAUUGAAGAAACUUUGAUAAGUAUAUUACGCGGUUAAAAAAAGAAAAGAAAAGAAAAAAAAAGAAAGAUAAAAUAAAAAGAAAAAGAAAAAAAAUAUGUAUAAACCAAACGGGCUCUGUAUAAUAUUUUUUAUUAACUCUGAAUCCGAAGUGUUUGAAAUACUUUUUAGUAUUUAUUAAUAUUUACAAAGAAGUCGAAUUUUUGAAUUCAUUCAUUCGAGAAUCAACGAUAUAUUAUAAAAAUGAGAUAACGAGAGAAAUGACAUACUUACUAUAUAAACUUGGAAAACAAUCUCGAUUACGAAUGAAAUUAUGUAAAUAAAAUAAAAAUGGCCGAAAGUGAAGCUUUUCGAGAAUGCGUAAUUCGAUUUCGUAUUUUCUUCGAACGCUACGAUCUCGAAACUCGAAAACUACAUAUACAAAGUGUUUCAUUUUAAACGAUAUUACCAAAUAUCGCCGAUCAUAUUAGUUCUAUAAAGAAAUGUUACAAAUAGAAGUUGUUAAGUUUUGAGGGGAGAAAUUUAAUAUUUAUUGCAGUUAUUUUCAGAUUGCUGUAUAUUAAUGGAAUUCAUAAUAAUUGUUUUUUAUAAUAAUUUUUUUUAUCUUGACAACAGCGUGCUUUAUGAAAUAGCUGUAAUAAAUAUAACAUUUUCUAUUUAAAACUUAGUUACUUUUGUAUGAAACAUUUGUUAAUAAAAUCAAUAGGAUCGGAGAUAUACCAUAUCGUUUAAAAUGAGACACUGUAUACCAUCACUUGGACGAUACUCGAAAUUGACCAACUGAUAAGCGUCUUCGUUGUUAUUCAUCCCUCGAUCAAAAGAUCGAGAUACGAAAAAACAAAAUACAAUGCAACGCGAAGAUAUUCGAUGACAUUCUAAUACACGAAUCGAUUUUAUUAAUAUUCGUUCGAAGAGAAAGAAGAUAAUUAUAAGCUCGUACUAUCUCGAACGAAGCAUUUAUGAAAGCAUUUUAUCGAAGCAAAUUAUACAUAAUUAAUAAUAAAAGCGAGAGAAAGAGAGAGAGAGAGAGAGAGAGAGAAAGAUAAGAAAAGAACAUUGAUAUCGACUAAAUCGUUUUCGUAAAGAAAAGAAAGAAAAUGGUACGUUUUUUGUACGAAAAUAAAUCUUGAUUCCUCUUUCUUCGUUUUGUUUCUCGUUCGAUGCAAGAUUUACUUUCGUAUAAAUAAUGUUUACAUAGGAUAUAGAAUAAUAAAAUAAGAGAAUGAGAAAGAAAGAAGAAAAUAAAAGAAUAGAAAAAAAAAAUGAUAAAGUCGAUCUAUGUAAGUACGUACAAUAUACAUACGCCUCGCUUUAGAUCGAUAGAUUGAUUGAUAAAUAGAUAGAUCAAUCGAGUUCAACUCUUGAACCCCGUCGUCGUUUCUUCGCGUUGAUUUCAAAAGCACCAAAUAAAGAGUAAAUAAAAUCGAUUGAUUUAAUUAAUAAUCGAGAAUGUAUAUUAUCGAACUUAAGCGACUCUGUCGAGCGGCGUAAAAAUAAAGAUACUAUAUACAAUACAUGAAAUUUUAUGUAUAAAAAAAAAAAAAAAAAGAAAAAGAGAGAAUGAAGAGAAAAAAAAGAAACGAAAAGAUAACGAAAGUCGGAGCGAUGGUGUCUUCGAUUCCGAAUAUCGCGAUACAUUCGAGAAUCGAAAGUGCUCCAUCAUCAUCGACGAGUCUCUCGAAUUUUUUUGUGUAUUAUUUUUAACGGAAUGUAAUAAAGUACUGUUUAAAAGGAA